This 446-nucleotide ribosomal RNA is filed under the name uncultured bacterium. Its description in RNAcentral is "partial 16S ribosomal RNA". It matches the Rfam family "Bacterial small subunit ribosomal RNA", at positions 331 to 793 of the family's 1533-position model. The record is from RNAcentral.
CCAGACUCCUACGGGAGGCAGCAGUGGGGGAUAUUGCACAAUGGGGGGAACCCUGAUGCAGCGACGCCGCGUGGGUGAAGGAGCGUUUCGGCGCGUAAAGCCCUAUCGGCAGGGAAGAAGGAGGACGGUACCUGACUAAGAAGCCCCGGCUAACUACGUGCCAGCAGCCGCGGGAAUACGUAGGGGGCAAGCGUUAUCCGGAUUUACUGGGUGUAAAGGGAGCGUAGACGGCAGUGCAAGUCUGAAGUGAAAGGCAAGGGCUCAACCCUUGGACUGCUUUGGAAACUGUGCUGCUGGAGUGUCGGAGAGGCAGGCGGAAUUCCUAGUGUAGCGGUGAAAUGCGUAGAUAUUAGGAGGAACACCAGUGGCGAAGGCGGCCUGCUGGACGACAACUGACGGUGAGGCGCGAAAGCGUGGGGAGCAAACAGGAUUAGAUACCCUUGUAA